UCCCCUGGGGAGGCAGCCAGGAUAUUCACAGUCAGUGUAAAUCUAGCUUUCUAUUGGGACUUUCUAAAUCUCUGGGUUGCCUAAAGACCACCAGGACCCAGAAAGCCAAGAAUACCUUUUUGGGAGCACUGGGUUGGAAUCUGACAGUGGUUGUAUGGGGCAAGGGAAAGUGGAAGUGACAGCUGCCUUUGGGAAAAGGAAGAGGAAGAGGAAGAGGAAGGACAAGAAGCAAAAACAACCCCCCCCCCCAGAAAACCCUCCUGUCUCUUCUUGGGAGCCAUAGACUUUGACAACAACUUCCCUGCAGAUCCCACGGAAUGGGAGCAACAGCAUAUCUUUCCACGUAGCCUCACACAAGGUGGCAGAGACCUCAGGGCUCCUUGGAAAAGACGGGUGAUACUACAUCUGGGUGAUGCAAAAGCAAUCUUGUAUACCAUUAGUGGCGCACCUGGGGACACAUUGUGGUGUCUGUGGAGAGAAAGAAGAAGCUGACAUCUGAUACGAGAGGAAGAGGAAAUUGGGAUGCAAAUAGGUACUGAAGAUCGUGUGAAGACAGGGAGGAGGUUGUCAUCAGCAAGCCAAGGAGAGAAGCCUCAGAAGACACCAACCCUGCCAACACUGUGACCUCAGACUCCAGCCCCCAGAACUAUUCCAUAGACUCUUCUCUGUUUCUUCAUCUAUGACAUGGGGAUAAUGUGAGUAUACCUACAUUAGAAGACUGCUGUGAAGACCAAAUAAGGUAACACACCUAAAGAAUUUGUGCAAAUUUCUGGUACAUUUUAAAUUAUAGUUAACAAAACAAGUAGUACCACUUUUAAAAAAAUCAACUUUUAUUUUAGAUAUGGGGGAUACAUGUGUAGAUUUGUUAUGUGGGGAUACUAUGUGAUGCUGAGGUUUGGAGUACAGAUCUUGUCACCCAGGUAGUGAGCAGAGUAUCCAAUAGGUACUUUUAAAAACUCCCCAUCCCCCCUGCUCCUUCCACCCUCUAAUGGUCCACAAUGUCUACUGUUCUCAUAUUUAUGUCUAUAUAUGCUCAAUGUUUACCUUCCACUUAUAAGUGAGAACAUGUGGUAUUUGGUUUUCUGUUCCUGCAUUAAUUUGCAUAAUAUUAUAGCCUCCAACUUCAUCCAUGUUGCUGCAAAUAACAUUAUUUUAUUCCUUUUUAUGGCUGUCUAGUAUUCCAUGGCAUAUAUGUACCAUAUUUUCUUUAUCCAGUCUAUCAUUGAUGGGCAUCUGGGUUGAUUCCAUAUCUUUGCUUAAAUAGUACCAUCUUUAACACAGGUGAAAUUUAUCUAUGCUGUAAGAAGUAAGGAUAGGGGUUACUCUUGGGAGGAAAUAGCAACCAGAAAGGUGUAGUCUAGGGACUUCUGGGGUGCUGAGAAUGCUGUUUCUUGAAUUGGGUACUGGUUCCACAGGUGUGUUCAAUUUGUGCAAAAACAGUGAGCUAUGCACUUAUGCAUUUUUUGAUGUGUUCAUUAUACUUCAAUAUAAAGAAAAAAUGGAGACAAGUGACUCAUGUUUUCUGAGCACUUGUCAUGUAGCUAUCCCUGGCACACUCUCUUCACAUGGAUGAUUUCAUUUAGCCCUGUGUGCUACGUGCUACUAUCAUCAUCAUCUCACAGAAGACAACACAGGCUCUAAGAGACAGAGCCACUGUCCAAAUUCAGACUGAGUAAUAGUGAAGGUGGGUAUCAUUUCAAUUCUUGUGUCUUCACCACUAUGCUAUGGCCUUGUGUUAGAGUUGGGUUGGAAAACAUGUAAAAUCCUUAGUUCUAGGAUUCAGGGGCAGGCUGGUGGCUCCUGCCUCACCCAGGCAGGAUGGGUCAUUCUGGGCAGUGGGGCGGGUUUCUCAGUGGAAAGGGUAGUGGGAGAGGGGUCGGAGGGGUCUUGGGAAGACCCAGCUGAGCCAGCUGGGUUCUCUCUGCCAUCACCCCUCCCUAUCAGCUUGGUCUCUCAGAACCAGUCCUCUUCCCACGCACCCAGUGUGUAAUUGCCUGAUCUGGCCUAGUGCACAGGGGAGAGGUGGGCAGGCAUUUAUUUUUCAUUAGAAGGUUGGACUAAAAUUGUGGGAGGUGGUGCUCAGCAUGGGGAGCUGCCUCAGAAAAUGUGCUGACGGAUGGGCCCAAACUUAUCAGCUGGAAACACCUGCUUCUGGUACCUUCUGCUACCUAUCCAAGCCUCGCUUUUCUUCAUCUGAAAUUACUAAUAUUGUCAACCUUACCAUGGCUCUUGAGAUGAUGACAUAAGAUAAUGCAGGGAUGGGAGUGAGGGGAAGCAAGAGGUCCGGAUUUAAAUUCUAUUUCUGUCACUUAACAGGGUGCAUUUUCAGCAAGUUUCUUACACCUCCCUAGGCCUCAAUUUCCUGAUCUGAAAACUAGGAUAGCUUACCUAUCCUGUAAGGGUUGUCACAAGAAGCCAACUUCAUGCUAGAUAUUAAAAUACCCAGCAGAAGCCUGGUACACAACAAGUGCUCGGUAAACAUCAAGAUGUGUGUAAACCAUGAAAUAUUGUUCGAGAACUUUGCCCUUCUUCCAAUCCCAGGUUGAAACAAUAUACAUUCCUUAGGAGAUGCUUCUUGGCUGUUGAGUGGAGUAAUUAUUUCCAAGGAGGGUUCUGGUGCAUCUCCCCAGAGUGAUACCACCACAUAAUGUAAAGGGUUGUAAACCUCUACUAUGUCUACAAGCCUGCAGAAAAUGUGACUGAAAUGCAGUCACAUUGUCUCUUUUUUUUUGAUCACGUGGUGACAACCAGCUU
Callithrix jacchus (white-tufted-ear marmoset) is the source of this 2754-nucleotide non-coding RNA. The record is from RefSeq and is a predicted model, not a curated record. Lineage: Eukaryota; Metazoa; Chordata; Mammalia; Primates; Cebidae.